UUUUGCCUACGGGGGGCAGCAGUGGGGGAUAUUGCACAAUGGGGGGAACCCUGAUGCAGCGACGCCGCGUGGGCGAUGGAGCGCCUCGGCGCGUAAAGCCCUAUCAGCAGGGAAGAAGAUGACGGUACCUGACUAAGAAGCCCCAGCUAAAUACGUGCCAGCAGCCGCGGUAAUACGUAUGGGGCAAGCGUUAUCCGGAUUUACUGGGUGUAAAGCGAGUGCAGGCGGUGCAAUAAGUCUGAUGUGAAA
Molecule: ribosomal RNA, 249 nt
Filed under: uncultured bacterium
Lineage: Bacteria
Description: partial 16S ribosomal RNA
Rfam family: Bacterial small subunit ribosomal RNA
Source: RNAcentral